Molecule: transfer RNA, 64 nt
Filed under: Lissodema cursor
Lineage: Eukaryota; Metazoa; Arthropoda; Insecta; Coleoptera; Salpingidae
Description: tRNA-Trp
Source: RNAcentral
AAGGAUUUAAGUUAAAAAAACUAGUAACCUUCAAAGUUACAAUUAGGGGCUUCUCUAAGCCUUG